Molecule: long non-coding RNA, 143 nt
Organism: Saccostrea cuccullata (small rock oyster)
Lineage: Eukaryota; Metazoa; Mollusca; Bivalvia; Ostreida; Ostreidae
Exons: 3
Source: RefSeq, a predicted model, not a curated record
AGAGUCGAAAAAAAAUCUUAUUGGAAAAUAUUUCUGUGCAGAGAAAGAAAAUGCUGAAAUAUUUGCAAGCAAUUCCGCAACUGAUAAACUGGUUCAAGCUAUCGCCCGAGGUGAAAGUCUUAGAGAAGUUGUAAAAAGAGACG